Molecule: ribosomal RNA, 470 nt
Filed under: uncultured bacterium
Lineage: Bacteria
Description: SSU rRNA
Rfam family: Bacterial small subunit ribosomal RNA
Source: RNAcentral
AGGACGAACGCUGGCGGCGUGCUUAACACAUGCAAGUCGAGCGGAAAGGCCCUUCGGGGUACUCGAGCGGCGAACGGGUGAGUAACACGUGAGCAACCUGCCCUUGGCUCUGGGAUAGCCUCCGGAAAACGGGGAUUAAUACCGGACAUUCACUUUCUCCUGCAUGGGGGGUUGGUGGAAAGUUUUUCGGCCAGGGAGGGGCUCGCGGCCUAUCAGCUUGUUGGCGGGUAACGGCCCACAAGGCGACGACGGGUAGCCGGCCUGAGAGGGCGAUCGGCCACACUGGGACUGAGACACGGCCCAGACUCCUACGGGAGGCAGCAGUGGGGAAUAUUGCACAAUGGGCGCAAGCCUGAUGCAGCGACGCCGCGUGGGGGAUGAAGGCCUUCGGGUUGUAAACCCCUUUCACCAGGAGCGAAUUCAGACGGUACCUGGGAAGAAGCGCCGGCUAACUACGUGCCAGCAGCCGC